RNAcentral lists this ribosomal RNA (443 nucleotides) under uncultured bacterium. Its description in RNAcentral is "partial 16S ribosomal RNA". It matches the Rfam family "Bacterial small subunit ribosomal RNA", at positions 338 to 795 of the family's 1533-position model. The record is from RNAcentral.
CCUACGGGAGGCAGCAGUGGGGAAUAUUGGGCAAUGGGCGCAAGCCUGACCCAGCAACGCCGCGUGAAGGAAGACGGCUUUCGGGUUGUAAACUUCUUUUCUGAGGGACGACGAAAGUGACGGUACCUCAGGAAUAAGCCACGGCUAACUACGUGCCAGCAGCGGCGGUAAUACGUAGGUGGCAAGCGUUAUCCGGAUUUAUUGGGUGUAAAGGGCGUGUAGGCGGGAAAGCAAGUCAGAUGUGAAAACUCAGGGCUCAACCCUGAGCCUGCAUUUGAAACUGUUUUUCUUGAGUGCUGGAGAGGCAAUCGGAAUUCCGUGUGUUGCGGGGAAAUGCGUAGAUAUACGGAGGAACACCAGUGGCGAAGGCGGAUUGCUGGACAGUAACUGACGCUGAGGCGCGAAAGCGUGGGGAGCAAACAGGAUUAGAUACCCGAGUAGUC